RNAcentral lists this ribosomal RNA (607 nucleotides) under uncultured bacterium. Its description in RNAcentral is "bacterial SSU rRNA". It matches the Rfam family "Bacterial small subunit ribosomal RNA", at positions 331 to 929 of the family's 1533-position model. The record is from RNAcentral.
CCAGACUCCUACGGGAGGCAGCAGUAGGGAAUCUUCGGCAAUGGACGAAAGUCUGACCGAGCAACGCCGCGUGAGUGAAGAAGGUUUUCGGAUCGUAAAACUCUGUUGGUAGAGAAGAACGUUGGUGAGAGUGGAAAGCUCAUCAAGUGACGGUAACUACCCAGAAAGGGACGGCUAACUACGUGCCAGCAGCCGCGGUAAUACGUAGGUCCCGAGCGUUGUCCGGAUUUAUUGGGCGUAAAGCGAGCGCAGGUGGUUUAUUAAGUCUGGUGUAAAAGGCAGUGGCUCAACCAUUGUAUGCAUUGGAAACUGGUAGACUUGAGUGCAGGAGAGGAGAGUGGAAUUCCAUGUGUAGCGGUGAAAUGCGUAGAUAUAUGGAGGAACACCGGUGGCGAAAGCGGCUCUCUGGCCUGUAACUGACACUGAGGCUCGAAAGCGUGGGGAGCAAACAGGAUUAGAUACCCUGGUAGUCCACGCCGUAAACGAUGAGUGCUAGUUGUUUGGGGCUAUCCAGCCCUAAGUGACGCAGCAAACGCAUUAAGCACUCCGCCUGGGGAGUACGACCGCAAGGUUGAAACUCAAAGGAAUUGACGGGGGCCCGCACAAG